RNAcentral lists this ribosomal RNA (433 nucleotides) under uncultured bacterium. RNAcentral's name for it is "partial 16S ribosomal RNA". It matches the Rfam family "Bacterial small subunit ribosomal RNA", at positions 29 to 507 of the family's 1533-position model. The record is from RNAcentral.
AACGAACGCUGGCGGCAUGCCUAACACAUGCAAGUCGAACGAGACCUUCUGGUCUUGUUGCGCACGGGUUCGUAACGCGUUGGAACCUUCCCUUAUGUUCGGAAUAACUCCCCGAAAGGUGUGCUAAUACCGGUUAAUGUCUUCGGACCAAAGAUUUAUCGCCUUUGGAUGGGCCGGCGUUGGUUUAGCUAGUUGGUAGGGUAAAAGCCUACCAAGGCGAGGAUCCAUAGCUGGUAUGAGAGGAUGAUCAGCCACACUGGGAGGGAGACACGGCCCAGACUACUACGGGAGGGAGCAGUGGGGAAUAUAGGAAAAUGGGCGAAAGCAUGAAGAAGCAAGGACGGGAGAGUGAUGAAGGGGUUAGGGAAGUAAAGCAGUUUUAAACGGGAAGAUAAUGACAGUACCGGGAGAAUAAGCACCGGCUAACUCCGUG